UUAACACAUGCAAGUCGAACGGUAACAGGAGAAGCUUGCUUCUUGCUGACGAGUGGCGCACGGGUGAGUAAUGCAUAGGUAACGUGCCCCUUAGUCUAGGAUAGCCACUGGAAACGGUGAUUAAUACUGGAUACUCCUUCUUCCUUAAUGGAAGUUGGGAAAGUUUUUCGCUAAGGGAUCGGCCUAUGUUGUAUCAGGUAGUUGGUGAGGUAAUGGCUCACCAAGCCUAUGACACAUAGCGGGUCUGAGAGGAUGAUCCGCCACACUGGUACUGAGACACGGACCAGACUCCUACGGGAGGCAGCAGUGGGGAAUAUUGCACAAUGGACGAAAGUCUGAUGCAGCAACGCCGCGUGGAGGAUGACACAUUUCGGUGCGUAAACUCCUUUUAUAUGAGAAGAUAAUGACGGUAUCAUAUGAAUAAGCACCGGCUAACUCCGUGCCAGCAGCCGCGGUAAUACGGAGGGUGCAAGCGUUAUUCGGAAUCACUGGGCGUAAAGGGUGCGUAGGCGGUUUGAUAAGUCUGAUGUGAAAUCCUAUGGCUCAACCAUAGAACUGCAUUGGAAACUGUCAAACUAGAAUACUGAAGGGGCAGAUGGAAUUAGUGGUGUAGGGGUAAAAUCCGUAGAUAUCACUAGGAAUACCGAAAGCGAAAGCGAUCUGCUGGGAAGUUAUUGACGCUGAGGCACGAAAGCGUGGGGAGCAAACGGGAUUAGAUACCCCGGUAGUCCACGCCCUAAACGAUGAAUGCUAGUCGUCGGAAAGCUCGUCUUUUCGGUGAUGCAGUUAACACAUUAAGCAUUCC
This 805-nucleotide ribosomal RNA is filed under the name uncultured bacterium. Its description in RNAcentral is "bacterial SSU rRNA". It matches the Rfam family "Bacterial small subunit ribosomal RNA", at positions 48 to 870 of the family's 1533-position model. The record is from RNAcentral.